Molecule: ribosomal RNA, 253 nt
Filed under: uncultured bacterium
Lineage: Bacteria
Description: partial 16S ribosomal RNA
Rfam family: Bacterial small subunit ribosomal RNA
Source: RNAcentral
GACGUAGGGCGCAAGCGUUGUCCGGAUUUAUUGGGCGCAAAGAGCUCGUAGGCGGCCUGUCGCGUCGACUGUGAAAAACCACGACUCAACCGUGGGACUGCAGUCGAUACGGGCAGGCUAGAGUUCGGUAGGGGAGACUGGAAUUCCUGGUGUAGCGGUGAAAUGCGCAGAUAUCAGGAGGAACACCGGUGGCGAAGGCGGGUCUCUGGGCCGAUACUGACGCUGAGGAGCGAAAGCGUGGGGAGCGAACAGG